UAGGGAAUCUUCCACAAUGGGCGAAAGCCUGAUGGAGCAACGCCGCGUGGGUGAAGAAGGUCUUCGGAUCGUAAAACCCUGUUGUUAGAGAAGAAAGUGCGUGAGAGUAACUGUUCACGUUUCGACGGUAUCUAACCAGAAAGCCACGGCUAACUACGUGCCAGCAGCCGCGGUAAUACGUAGGUGGCAAGCGUUAUCCGGAUUUAUUGGGCGUAAAGGGAACGCAGGCGGUCUUUUAAGUCUGAUGUGAAAGCCUUCGGCUUAACCGGAGUAGUGCAUUGGAAACUGGGAGACUUGAGUGCAGAAGAGGAGAGUGGAACUCCAUGUGUAGCGGUGAAAUGCGUAGAUAUUGCGCAGAACUCCGAUUGCGAAGGCAGCGUACUGGCGCCUGACUGACGCUGAGGCACGAAAGCGUGGGGGAUCGAACAGGAUUAGAUACC
RNAcentral lists this ribosomal RNA (440 nucleotides) under uncultured bacterium. Its description in RNAcentral is "bacterial SSU rRNA". It matches the Rfam family "Bacterial small subunit ribosomal RNA", at positions 355 to 786 of the family's 1533-position model. The record is from RNAcentral.